AGCGAACGCUGGCGGCAGGCCUAACACAUGCAAGUCGAACGAAGUCUUCGGACUUAGUGGCGGACGGGUGAGUAACACGUGGGAACGUGCCUUUAGGUUCGGAAUAACUCAGGGAAACUUGUGCUAAUACCGAAUGUGCCCUUCGGGGGAAAGAUUUAUCGCCUUUAGAGCGGCCCGCGUCUGAUUAGCUAGUUGGUGAGGUAAAGGCUCACCAAGGCGACGAUCAGUAGCUGGUCUGAGAGGAUGAUCAGCCACAUUGGGACUGAGACACGGCCCAAACUCCUACGGGGGGCAGCAGUGGGGAAUCUUGCGCAAUGGGCGAAAGCCUGACGCAGCCAUGCCGCGUGAAUGAUGGAGGUCUUAGGAUUGUAAAAUUCUUUCACCGGGGACGAUAAUGACGGUACCCGGAGAAGAAGCCCCGGCUAACUUCGUGCCAGCAGCCGCCGCAG
Molecule: ribosomal RNA, 449 nt
Filed under: uncultured bacterium
Lineage: Bacteria
Description: partial 16S ribosomal RNA
Rfam family: Bacterial small subunit ribosomal RNA
Source: RNAcentral